CUAGCCAUGGAGAAAGUGGAGGAUAGUAUGGUACUACUUAUGAGACACAGCUGGAGGGAGGUUUUCGAUACACCGGUGAGUCUCAGUUCACAUGCUAUACAAGAUACGGAUCACGGUAGGCCAUCUGAUAUAGGCCAGUCAGAUACCAUUGCAUAUCGAAGAAGAGCUCCUCGAGGUCGUUCAAGAGGCCAGGAUGCAGCUGUAGAUGACCUCCCAUGUAGAGUCAGAUCCAUUGAUGUAUCAAGUUCCGAGUCUUCCUAUUAUCCGCGGCCUCAGCCAGCCUAUGGAUAUGGUGCA
RNAcentral lists this long non-coding RNA (297 nucleotides) under Phoenix dactylifera (date palm). RNAcentral's name for it is "long non-coding RNA (PDAC_LNC008759)". Lineage: Eukaryota; Viridiplantae; Streptophyta; Magnoliopsida; Arecales; Arecaceae. The record is from RNAcentral.